RNAcentral lists this ribosomal RNA (484 nucleotides) under uncultured bacterium. Its description in RNAcentral is "bacterial SSU rRNA". It matches the Rfam family "Bacterial small subunit ribosomal RNA", at positions 34 to 507 of the family's 1533-position model. The record is from RNAcentral.
CGCUAGCUACAGGCUUAACACAUGCAAGUCGAGGGGCAGCAUUAUCGAAGCUUGCUCUGAUAGAUGGCGACCGGCGCACGGGUGAGUAACGCGUAUCCAACCUUCCCCAUAGUCAGGAAUAGCCCGGCGAAAGUCGAAUUAAUGCCUGAUGUUUUCCACGGACGGCAUCCGAUGUGGAACAAAGAUUGAUCGCUAUGGGAUGGGGAUGCGUCUGAUUAGCUUGUUGGCGGGGUAACGGCCCACCAAGGCAACGAUCAGUAGGGGUUCUGAGAGGAAGGUCCCCCACAUUGGAACUGAGACACGGUCCAAACUCCUACGGGAGGCAGCAGUGAGGAAUAUUGGUCAAUGGGCGGAAGCCUGAACCAGCCAAGUAGCGUGAGGGAUGACUGCCCUAUGGGUUGUAAACCUCUUUUAUAAGGGAAUAAAAUACGGGACGUGUCCUGUUUUGCAUGUACCUUAUGAAUAAGGACCGGCUAAUUCCGUG